RNAcentral lists this ribosomal RNA (525 nucleotides) under uncultured marine eukaryote. RNAcentral describes it as "bacterial SSU rRNA". It matches the Rfam family "Eukaryotic small subunit ribosomal RNA", at positions 631 to 1184 of the family's 1831-position model. The record is from RNAcentral.
UAGUUGGAUUUCUGCCGAAGACGACCAGUCCGCCCUCUGGGCGCGCAUCUGGCUUGGCCUGGGCAUCUUCUUGCUGCACUUGACUGUGUGGCGCGGUAUCCAAUAUUUCUACUUUGAGGAAAUUAGAGUGUUUCCAGCUCGCGCACGCCUUGAAUACAUUAGCAUGGAAUGAUAACGUAUGACCUCGAUUCUAUUUGGUUCGUCUCUAGAGCUGAGAUAACGAUUAAUAUGAAUAGCUGGGGGCAUUCGUAUUUAACUGUCAAAAGUGACAUUCUUGGGAUUUGUUAAAGACGGACUAUUGCGAAAGCAUUUGCCAAGGAUGUGUUCAUUGAUCAGGGGAUCGAAGACGAUCAGAUACCGUCCGUCUUAACCGCAAACUAUGCCGACUAGAGAUUGGAGGUCGUUAUCUAUAGGGCUCCUUCAGCACCUUAUGAGAAAUCAUAGUCUUUGGAUUCCGGGGGGAGUAUGGUCGCAUGGCUGAAACUUAAAGGAAUUGACGGAAGGGCACCAGCAGGAGUGGAGCUU